RNAcentral lists this ribosomal RNA (451 nucleotides) under uncultured organism. Its description in RNAcentral is "partial 16S ribosomal RNA". It matches the Rfam family "Bacterial small subunit ribosomal RNA", at positions 330 to 797 of the family's 1533-position model. The record is from RNAcentral.
CGUACACUCCUACGGGAGGCAGCAGUGGGGAAUAUUAGACAAUGGGCGCAAGCCUGAUCCAGCCAUGCCGCGUGAGUGAUUAAGGCCCUAGGGUUGUAAAGCUCUUUCACCGGUGAAGAUAAUGACGGUAACCGGAGAAGAAGCCCCGGCUAACUUCGUGCCAGCAGCCGCGGUAAUACGAAGGGGGCUAGCGUUGUUCGGAUUUACUGGGCGUAAAGCGCACGUAGGCGGACUAUUAAGUCAGGGGUGAAAUCCCGGGGCUCAACCCCGGAACUGCCUUUGAUACUGGUAGUCUUGAGUUCGAGAGAGGUGAGUGGAAUUCCGAGUGUAGAGGUGAAAUUCGUAGAUAUUCGGAGGAACACCAGUGGCGAAGGCGGCUCACUGGCUCGAUACUGACGCUGAGGUGCGAAAGCGUGGGGAGCAAACAGGAUUAGAAACCCGAGUAGUCCCA